CAGGUACAACAGAUAGUGACUUGAUAUAUUCAAGAGGAAAGUCCGAGCUGCUAUAAGACAGUGUUCCAUUUAACUAAUGGCCGUAGUAAUACGAGGGAAAGUGCAACAGAGAGCAGACUGCCGCUUUGCGGUAAAGGUGAAAGGGCGGUGUAAGAGACCACCAGUCUUUAUAGUAAUAUAGAGAGCUUGUAAACCCAACAUGGCAGCAAGAAACAGAUGGUCAGCGUCUUAUAAUGCUAUUGUUUCGCUAGAGUUAUUAUGUAAAUAAUAAAGUAGAUUAAUGCUAUCAAAACAAAACUCGGCUUACAGUUGUACCUGUCUU
This 322-nucleotide RNase P RNA is filed under the name Sulfurimonas sp. RIFOXYD12_FULL_33_39. RNAcentral's name for it is "RNase P RNA component class A". It matches the Rfam family "Bacterial RNase P class A". Rfam says of the family: Ribonuclease P (RNase P) is a ubiquitous endoribonuclease, found in archaea, bacteria and eukarya as well as chloroplasts and mitochondria. Its best characterised activity is the generation of mature 5'-ends of tRNAs by cleaving the 5'-leader elements of precursor-tRNAs. RNAcentral also lists the same sequence under 1 other name. Lineage: Bacteria; Pseudomonadati; Campylobacterota; Epsilonproteobacteria; Campylobacterales; Sulfurimonadaceae. The record is from RNAcentral.